GUUGUUAAGGUAUAUAGCGAAUCUUGACGUUUCGCCCUGACCGAUGCUACCUCCUUGAUUGCCUAC
RNAcentral lists this ribosomal RNA (66 nucleotides) under Anopheles subpictus. Its description in RNAcentral is "partial 5.8S ribosomal RNA". Lineage: Eukaryota; Metazoa; Arthropoda; Insecta; Diptera; Culicidae. The record is from RNAcentral.